Triticum aestivum (bread wheat) is the source of this 115-nucleotide non-coding RNA. The record is from Rfam. NCBI's taxonomy places the organism in Eukaryota, Viridiplantae, Streptophyta, Magnoliopsida, Poales, Poaceae.
AAUGUACUCCCUCCGUUCCGAAUUACUUGUCGCAGGUAUGGAUGUAUCUAGAUGUAUUUUAGUUCUAGAUACAUCCAUUUCUGCGACGAGUAAUUUGGAACGGAGGGAGUAUUUG